RNAcentral lists this ribosomal RNA (497 nucleotides) under uncultured bacterium. RNAcentral describes it as "partial 16S ribosomal RNA". It matches the Rfam family "Bacterial small subunit ribosomal RNA", at positions 28 to 507 of the family's 1533-position model. The record is from RNAcentral.
GAUGAACGCUGGCGGCGUGCCUAAUACAUGCAAGUCGAGCGAACGGACGAGAAGCUUGCUUCUCUGCUGUUAGCGGCGGACGGGUGAGUAACACGUGGAUAACCUACCUAUAAGACUGGGAUAACUUCGGGAAACAGUAGCUAAUACUGGAUAAUAUUUUGAACCGCAUGGUUCAAAAGUGAAAGACGGUCUUGCUGUCACUUAUAGAUGGAUCCGCGCUGCAUUAGCUAGUUGGUAAGGUAACGGCUUACCAAGGCAACGAUGCAUAGCCGACCUGAGAGGGUGAUCGGCCACACUGGAACUGAGACACGGUCCAGACUCCUACGGGAGGCAGCAGUAGGGAAUCUUCCGCAAUGGGCGAAAGCCUGACGGAGCAACGCCGCGUGAGUGAUGAAGGUCUUCGGAUCGUAAAACUCUGUUAUUAGGGAAGAACAUAUGUGUAAGUAACUGUGCACAUCUUGACGGUACCUAAUCAGAAAGCCACGGCUAACUACGUG